Molecule: ribosomal RNA, 420 nt
Filed under: uncultured bacterium
Lineage: Bacteria
Description: bacterial SSU rRNA
Rfam family: Bacterial small subunit ribosomal RNA
Source: RNAcentral
UAAGGAAUAUUGCUCAAUGGGAGAAAUCCUGAAGCAGCAACGCCGCGUGGAGGAUGAAGGGUCUAUGACUUGUAAAUUCCUGUAAAGAAGGAAAAAAUUCCCAUUAGAUGGGAGAUGAUGGUACUUCUGGAGUAAGCCCCGGCUAACUACGUGCCAGCAGCCGCGGUAAUACGUAGGGGGCAAGCGUUGUCCGGAUUUACUGGGUGUAAAGGGUGCUCAGGCGGAUUUGUAAGUCAGAGGUGAAAUCUUACAGCUUAACUGUGAAACUGCCUUUGAUACUGCAAGCCUAGAGUAUGGAAGAGAGUGAUGGAAUAUCUGGUGUAGCAGUGAAAUGCGUAGAUAUCAGAUAGAACACCAAUGGCGAAGGCAGUCACUUGGUCCAUUACUGACGCUAAAGCACGAAAGCGUGGGUAGCAAACA